CUCCGAGAAUUGAAUAGAUUUACUUGAAUAUUUACAAAUCGCCAAACAAAGUAUGUACACAAGCUCUAUGCCAAUUGUAUUCGUCAGAAGUAUGUCAUUUUCAAAAUGGUUCAUAUAAGAGAGUCGUGAGGUUCAAGGCGACAUCACUGUCUUUCCAAACACAAUUAGUUUCAGAGGCCUAACAUAUUGACUAUUAUUGAAAUAUGGAAAAGUUAAGGCUGUUUUUACUUAGGAUAAUUCUAACCUCGAUUUUAAUAACUGUCAUAACAGGCAGAAAUAGUGAGGCCUACAGAAUUUCGCCGCAAACUUCUUCACACCAGCCACAAACCCCACAACGACGAAAUUGGCCAGAUGCAUACACCAAUAUGCCCCCAUAUUUAGUGCUAAACAGAAAAACCGGGACCUAUUUCCCUUAUUAUACAUUUCCAAAUAAAAACAGUUUGAGAAAAAAAUCUGGUUGACUUAAGAAGACAAUGAAAUGGACUGUAAUUUGUUUGUACUUAUUUUAAUUAUUGAUUAAAAAGAGCAGUACGAUUGAAA
Long non-coding RNA from Pieris rapae (cabbage white), 540 nucleotides. RefSeq lists it as uncharacterized. The transcript has 2 exons. Lineage: Eukaryota; Metazoa; Arthropoda; Insecta; Lepidoptera; Pieridae. The record is from RefSeq and is a predicted model, not a curated record.